UCUUUUCUUUUUUAUUAUUAUUUACAACAACAAACAAACAAAUCUACAAAACGCAUAAAAACUUCAUUUCUUCCCUUGCUUACAUUCUCUCUUUCGUUUCUUUAUUUGCUCUCUUUGCGUUCUUUUGUUUUUCUGAAGAAGAAAGGCUUCGUCCUUUGUUCCUUCCUCUUUGUUUUUCUGUUUUGGGUGUUCUUUUGUUCUCGGUGGCGAAGAAAGGCAGAAGCAGUUAUGUCGAUCGCAUUGGAGAGGAUAGAAACAUCAGGGUUUGGGCGCGUGAUGAAGUGCGCAUGUGAUACUUCCAGAUUGGAACCUACGCCGGUGAAGGAAAGGAAAGAGGUGGAGGAAGACGAUUGGAGGAGUGCAUCGUCUAGUACGACGUCGUCUUCGAUCGGCAGGAACAGUGACGACGCAUCUGGUAGAUCGUCCGACGGUGGAGCUUGCGAGGAAAAUGAGGUUCAAAGCUCUUAUAAAGGUGGCUUAGACAUGAUGGAUUCGCUCGAACAGGUUUUGCCGAUGAGGAGAGGCAUCUCAAAUUUCUACAAUGGCAAAUCAAAGUCCUUCACAAGUUUAGCCGAUGCUUCCUCAACUUCAUCGAUUAAAGACAUAGCAAAACCUGAAAAUGCAUACACCAGGAGGAGGAGAAAUCUAUUGGCAAUUAACCAUGCGUGGGACAAGAACAGGAACAAAAGACUCAUUAGACCAAUCAGCUCAAGCAAAAGCACAUUGGCUCUUGCUGUUGCAAUGAGUAGCUCUGAGAGUAUCUCUAGCACGAGUGAGGACUCGACUUCAACCUCAAGCCCACGACUUCCUCCAUUGCACCCACAAACCAGAACAUCUUUCAACAACACCCCUUCGUCGCCGCCGAAAAGUAGCCGGAAUUUCUCUAAUUGGCGGUCCUUCUCGUUGGCUGAUGUUCGGGAAUAUGCCACAAACCCAGAUUGCUCGUCAAUUCAUGAUAGAACUAACUCUUAAUAGAAAGAGACGUGAUAAUAAUUUGUUAUAGUUUUACACUUUUUUACGCUGAGUUUGAUAUAUACGCAAGGGGUGUUAGGCUUUAGCAUCUGCAUGGUUUUCAUGCCUCCUUGUUGCCCUUGUGAAAGGAAAAAUGUUGCCCCAAGUUUUAGCCAGUUGUUUUUCUUACCAGAUGCAGCAAAGGGAAUGGAUACAGCGUGGGGAAAUGUCUCGAAUUGAUUUCCAGCGUUUAAUCACGUUUGUUCCAAGGCUGAAGGCGACUGAAUUUUGACGGCCAGCAAAUAGCGGAAAACGAUGGGUUUGCUUUAUUUA
Non-coding RNA from Theobroma cacao (cacao), 1284 nucleotides. Lineage: Eukaryota; Viridiplantae; Streptophyta; Magnoliopsida; Malvales; Malvaceae. The record is from RefSeq and is a predicted model, not a curated record.